Molecule: ribosomal RNA, 303 nt
Filed under: uncultured bacterium
Lineage: Bacteria
Description: partial 16S ribosomal RNA
Rfam family: Bacterial small subunit ribosomal RNA
Source: RNAcentral
AGCAGUCGCCGCGGGAAUACAGAGGGUGCGAGCGUUAAUCGGAUUUACUGGGCGUAAAGCGUGCGUAGGCGGCUUCUUAAGUCGGAUGUGAAAUCCCUGAGCUUAACUUAGGAAUUGCAUUCGAUACUGGGAAGCUAGAGUAUGGGAGAGGAUGGUAGAAUUCCAGGUGUAGCGGUGAAAUGCGUAGAGAUCUGGAGGAAUACCGAUGGCGAAGGCAGCCAUCUGGCCUAAUACUGACGCUGAGGUACGAAAGCAUGGGGAGCAAACAGGAUUAGAUACCCCCGUAGUCCCUGUCUCUUAUAA